GAAAUGCGAUAAGUAAUGUGAAUUGCAGAAUUCAGUGAAUCAUCGAAUCUUUGAACGCACCUUGCGCUCCUUGGUAUUCCUUGGAGCAUGCCUGUUUGAGUAUCAUGAAAUCUUCAAAGUAAAUCUUUUGUUAACUCAAUUGGUUUCUACUUUGGUAUUGGAGGUCUUUGCAGCUUCACACCUGCUCCUCUUUGUUCAUUAGCUGGAUCUCAGUGUUAUGCUUGUUUCCACUCGGCGUGAUAAGUUAUCUAUCGCUGAGGACACUGUAAAAGGUGGCCAAGGUAAAUGCAGAUGAACCGCUUCUAAUAAUCCAUUGACUUGGACAAUACUUUUAUGAUCUGAUCUCAAAUCAGGUAGGACUACCCGCUGAACUUAAGC
This 378-nucleotide unclassified non-coding RNA is filed under the name plant metagenome. Its description in RNAcentral is "partial contains 5.8S ribosomal RNA, internal transcribed spacer 2, and large subunit ribosomal RNA". The stretch from base 1 to 105 matches the Rfam family "5.8S ribosomal RNA", at positions 50 to 154 of the family's 154-position model. The record is from RNAcentral.